GAUAGUCUGAAGUAGAUCAACCAUAACUUUUUACUCCGAUAUCCAAAUUGGAUGAAACCAAUUUCAUUAGAAAGACUCUCAUAUCUUUUCGUUGAUAUAUAGUAUCUCAACCAGGUCAUUGUGUACGAGGAGUUAUGAUCAUUUUGAAGUUAACCCAAAAAUUUACUUUUGAUAGGCUGAAGUAGAUCGACCAUAACUUUUUGCCCGGAU
RNAcentral lists this long non-coding RNA (210 nucleotides) under Capsicum annuum. RNAcentral's name for it is "long non-coding RNA (CANN_LNC011986)". The record is from RNAcentral. Lineage: Eukaryota; Viridiplantae; Streptophyta; Magnoliopsida; Solanales; Solanaceae.